GACUAACUACGAUAAGCUUUGGUGAGCGGUAAGUACGCUAUGACCCAAAGAUUUCCGAAUGGGGAAACCCAACUCGUAAGAGUUGUCUGUAUCUGAAUACAUAGGAUAUUUGACGGAAUACGCUGUGAACUGAAACAUCUCAUUAGCAGCAGGAGCAGAAAGAAAAAUCGAUUCCCUAAGUAGCGGCGAGCGAACGGGGAAGAGCCCAAACCAACGUGCUUGCAUGUUGGGGUUGUAGGACUGAUAUAUAAGAGUUACAAAAGUGUUUUAUAGCAGAACAAGUUGGGAAACUUGGCUAUAGAGGGUGAUAGCCCCGUAAGCGAAAUGAAGCACACUCUUUUCAGGAUCCUGAGUACGGCCGGACACGUGAAAUCCGGUCGGAAUCUGCGGGGACCAUCCCGUAAGGCUAAAUACUCCCUAGUGACCGAUAGUGAACCAGUACCGUGAGGGAAAGGUGAAAAGCACCCCGGAAGGGGAGUGAAAUAGUUCCUGAAACCACGACGCCUACAAGAAGUCAGAGCCCGUUAAUGGGUGAUGGCGUGCCUUUUGUAGAAUGAACCGGCGAGUUACGGUAUCGUGCGAGGUUAAGGUGGAAAGACCGGAGCCGCAGCGAAAGCGAGUGUGAAUAGCGCGAAUAGUACGAUGCUGUAGACCCGAAACCAAGUGACCUACCCAUGGUCAGGAUGACGGUGAGGUAAAACUUACUGGAGGUCCGAACCGGUGCAUGUUAAACAAUGCUCGGAUGAACUGUGGGUAGCGGUGAAAUUCCAAACGAACUUGGAGAUAGCUGGUUCUCUCCUAAAUAGAUGUUAAGUGGAAAACGAUGUGAUAGUGCAUAGACAACUAGGAUGUUGGCUUAGAAGCAGCCACCAUUUAAAGAGUGCGUAAUAGCUCACUAGUCGAGUGCCAUUGCGCGGAAAAUGUACCGGGGCUAAACAUAUUACCGAAACUGCGGGUGCACGUAAGUGCGCGAUAGGAGAGCGUUGUAAGGGCGACGAAGGUAGAUCGUAAGGACUGCUGGAGCGCUUACAAGUGAGAAUGCCGGUAUGAGUAGCGAAAGACAGGUGAGAAUCCUGUCCACCGAAUGACUAAGGUUUCCGGGGGAAGGCUCGUCCACCCAGGGUUAUGCGGGACCUAAGGCGAGGCUGAGAAGCGUAGUCGAUGGAUAACAGGUUGAGAUUCCUGUACCAGUUGUAAUGCGUUAUUACCGAUGGAGGGACGCAGGAGGCUACCAGAUGCGCACUGAUGGAUAUGUGCGUGCAAGCAGUAAGUCUUGAAAAGAGUGAAAUGCUUUUUUCUAUAAGGACAAGCUGUGAUGCGGAUCGAAAUAAAGUAGAGAAGUCUGAGACGUCACACUGCCGAGAAAAGCUUCUAGGAAGUAUUACACUGCCCGUACCGCAAACCGACACAGGUAGUCGAGUGGAGAACACUAAGGUGAGCGAGAGAACCCUCGUUAAGGAACUCGGCAAAAUGACCCCGUAACUUCGGGAGAAGGGGUGCUCAUGGUAAAACAUGAGCCGCAGUGAAUAGGCCCAGGCGACUGUUUAUCAAAAACACAGGUUUCUGCAAAAUCGUAAGAUGAAGUAUAGGGGCUGACGCCUGCCCGGUGCUGGAAGGUUAAAAGGAGUGCUUAGUUUCGGCGAAGGUACGAAUUGAAGCCCCAGUAAACGGCGGCCGUAACUAUAACGGUCCUAAGGUAGCGAAAUUCCUUGUCGGGUAAGUUCCGACCCGCACGAAAGGCGUAACGAUCUGGGCACUGUCUCAACGAGGGACUCGGUGAAAUUUAAAUACCCGUGAAGAUGCGGGUUACCCGCGACAGGACGGAAAGACCCCAUGGAGCUUUACUGUAGCUUGAUAUUGAAUGUUUGUGCUGCUUGUACAGAAUAGGUAGGAGACGUAGAAGAUUGGACGCUAGUCUAGUCGGAGUCGCACGGUGGGAUACUACCCUCGUUGUAUGAACAUUCUAACACUGGUCACUCAACGUGAUCGUGGACAGUGUCUGGCGGGCAGUUUGACUGGGGCGGUCGCCUCCUAAAAGGUAACGGAGGCG
RNAcentral lists this ribosomal RNA (2050 nucleotides) under Leuconostoc mesenteroides subsp. mesenteroides. Its description in RNAcentral is "bacterial LSU rRNA". It matches the Rfam family "Bacterial large subunit ribosomal RNA", at positions 60 to 2308 of the family's 2925-position model. The record is from RNAcentral. Lineage: Bacteria; Bacillati; Bacillota; Bacilli; Lactobacillales; Lactobacillaceae.